ACACGAACAGUACACGGUGCGAUUGGACGAAUAAUAACGUUGGCUGCUGCACAAAGAGAAAGGCCGGAGAAGCCAUCAUCUGGUGCUGUGUACAGCAAGCACAUGCUUCGGGCAAGGAGGGAGCCAGCACCAUAUCUACAUCAGCAAGAACCUCGGUGCUCAAAAUAAACAUUUUCUGUGCAAA
Molecule: non-coding RNA, 184 nt
Organism: Dermacentor andersoni
Lineage: Eukaryota; Metazoa; Arthropoda; Arachnida; Ixodida; Ixodidae
Source: RefSeq, a predicted model, not a curated record